Oncorhynchus tshawytscha (Chinook salmon) is the source of this 323-nucleotide long non-coding RNA. The record is from Ensembl. NCBI's taxonomy places the organism in Eukaryota, Metazoa, Chordata, Actinopteri, Salmoniformes, Salmonidae.
AUCGUCUCUGUGGAGGGAAGUUGGGGAGGCUCUUUGGUGGCUUGGGAAACGAUUUGACUAUAAAGUAAACUGGUAGACAACCCCUAAAACUGCAUCAUCAUGGAUGAGAAUGAAGAAUUUGAGGACGAGUUUGAGGAAGAGGAGAUUUUCGAGGAAGAGUAUUUUGAGGAGACGGUGACUUCGACCACCUCUCACCAGACCACAUCUCGGGCAGCAGCGGUAACUCAACAGGUAGAAGACAACAGUGAAUUAAACAGCACCAGCAGUUCAUCAUGCUGGGUACUUGCAUGCCAUGAGGGUUAUUCCACCAACGAAGGAAAGGC